GACGAACGUUGGCGGCGUGCUUAACACAUGCAAGUCGAACGAAGAGCGAUGGAAGCUUGCUUCUAUCAAUCUUAGUGGCGAACGGGUGAGUAACGCGUAAUCAACCUGCCCUUCAGAGGGGGACAACAGUUGGAAACGACUGCUAAUACCGCAUACGAUCCAAUCUCGGCAUCGAGGAUGGAUGAAAGGUGGCCUCUAUUUAUAAGCUAUCACUGAAGGAGGGGAUUGCGUCUGAUUAGCUAGUUGGAGGGGUAACGGCCCACCAAGGCGAUGAUCAGUAGCCGGUCUGAGAGGAUGAACGGCCACAUUGGGACUGAGACACGGCCCAGACUCCUACGGGAGGCAGCAGUGGGGAAUCUUCCGCAAUGGACGAAAGUCUGACGGAGCAACGCCGCGUGAGUGAUGACGGCCUUCGGGUUGUAAAGCUCUGUUAAUCGGGACGAAAGGCCUUCUUGCGAAUAGUUAGAAGGAUUGACGGUACCGGAAUAGAAAGCCACGGCUAACUACGUGCCAGCAGCCGCGGUAAUACGUAGGUGGCAAGCGUUGUCCGGAAUUAUUGGGCGUAAAGCGCGCGCAGGCGGAUUGGUCAGUCUGUCUUAAAAGUUCGGGGGUUAACCCCGUGAUGGGAUGGAAACUGCCAAUUUAGAGUAUCGGAGAGGAAAGUGGAAUUCCUAGUGUAGCGGUGAAAUGCGUAGAUAUUAGGAAGAACACCAGUGGCGAAGGCGACUUUCUGGACGAAAACUGACGCUGAGGCGCGAAAGCCAGGGGAGCGAACGGGAUUAGAUACCCCGGUAGUCCUGGCCGUAUACGAUGG
Molecule: ribosomal RNA, 814 nt
Filed under: uncultured organism
Description: SSU rRNA
Rfam family: Bacterial small subunit ribosomal RNA
Source: RNAcentral